GGGAUAGAAUUCCAGGAGUAGCGGUGAAAUGCGUAGAUAUCUGGAGGAAUACCAAAGGCGAAGGCAGUCCCCUGGUCCGAUACUGACACUGAGGUACGAAAGCGUGGGGAGCAAACAGGAUUAGAUACCCUGGUAGUCCACGCCCUAGACGAUGUCGAUUAGCCAUUGGAAGGACCCCUUUUCCUUUCAGUGACGUAGCUAACGCGUUAAAUCGACCGCCUGGGAAGUACGACCGCAAGGUUAAAACUCAAAGGAAUUGACGGGGACCUGAACAAGCGGUGAAUGAUGUGGAUUAAUUCGAUGCUACGCGAAGAACCUUACCUACCUUUGACAUGGCCAAAGUUCUACCGAGAGGCGGAAGUACUCGUAAGAGGAUUGGCGCACAGGUGCUGCAUGGUUGUCGUCAGUUCGUGUCGUGAGAUGUUGGGUUCGUCCCGCAACGAACGCAACCCUUAUCUUUAAUUGCUCCUAUUUUAACAGGCACUUUAAAGAAACUGCCAAUGAUAAGUUGGAGGAAGGUGGGGAUCACGUCAAGUCCGCAUGGCCUUUAUAGGUAGGGCUUCACACGUCAUACAAUGGUUAGAACAAAGAGCUGCAAAUUCGUAAGAAGGAGCCAAUCUCACAAACCUAACCUCAGUUCGAAUUGCGGUCUGCAACUCGAGCGCAUGAAGCCGGAAUCGCUAGUAAUCGUGGAUCAGAAUGCCACGGUGAAUACGUUCUUAGGUCUU
Molecule: ribosomal RNA, 728 nt
Filed under: Candidatus Tremblayella phenacoccinincola
Lineage: Bacteria; Pseudomonadati; Pseudomonadota; Betaproteobacteria
Description: bacterial SSU rRNA
Rfam family: Bacterial small subunit ribosomal RNA
Source: RNAcentral